AUGGACGCAGCUCUGGCCCCGUUGCGCCUCCAGGGCGUUCGUGUGUUGAAUUACUUGGACGAUUGGCUGGUGCUAGCUCAAUCACAGACUCAAGCACUCUCUCACCGAGAUUUAGUGCUGAAUCAUUUAAGCAGCCUGGGCUUAUGCACGAAUUUCCAGAAGAGUGUUUUAAUCCCCUCUCAACGGAUAACCUUUCUGGGAAUAGAUUUGGACUCUCGCGCGAUGACAGCCAGACUAUCUCUCCCGCGCGUUCAGUCUCUCACGUCAUGCGUGCGUCACUGCAAAGUAGGCCGCACAGUGACGGUGAGUUUGUGUCUCAGGCUGUUAGGUCUGAUGGCAGCGGCAUCCCCUGUAAUUCGUCUGGGCUUACUUCACAUGCGCCCUUUUUCAGUGGUGGACGAAAAGGUCAGAACAUUUCACCCCGUUGUUUUUCCGCAUCGUACGAUUUCGGUGACACGGAGGUGUGUUAUGUCAAUAAAACAGUGGAUGUCAACCGAGUUCCUUCUAGCCGGAGUUCGGCUGGGGAUUUGUGCUUCCCGAGAGACUGUCACGACGGACGCGUCUUUGACCGGUUGGGGAGCUGUUUGUCAAGGGCGCCCAGCUCAUGGAGUGUGGACAGCGACACAGCGCGGUUGGCACAUAAACAGGUUGGAACUACUGGCAGUUUUUCUAGCUCUCCAGUAUUUCUCAAAUCUGCUGACCGGCCGUCAUGUACUACUCAGGUCAGACAACAUGGCGGUUGUGUCAUACCUGAAUCAUCAAGGAGGGUUACGCUCUCGCCCCCUGUGCAGGCUGGCGAGGAGUAUUCUUCUUUGGUCUCGGAACAGAUUUCUAUCGAUCCGAGCAGUUCAUGUCCCCCGGACGUUUGAACGUCGGAGCGGAUCUGCUAUCCAGACAGACUCUGGAGCAGGGGGAAUGGAGAUUACACCCACAGACGGUGAGCCUUUUAUGGCAGAUAUUCGGAGAGGCGAGAGUGGACUUAUUCGCGUCGAGCACGACUACGCAUUGCCCGCUGUGGUUCUCCCUAUGCCCUCCAUCGCCCCUAGGCUUGGAUGCGUUAGCUCACGAUUGGCCCAGGACCAGCUUGUAUGCUUUUCCUCCAAUUCGUUUAAUUCCAGCGGUGUUGUCCAGGAUACGGCUGGACAGAGUGGAGCAGCUGCUGCUGGUGGCUCCGUGGUGGCCCACACAGCCGUGGUUUGCGGAACUGGUCAGUCUAAUAGUGGGCUCUCCAUGGGAGAUUCCCCUCAGACAGGACUUACUAUCGCAAGCACGAGGGAUGAUUUGGCACCCGAGGCCAGAUCUGUGGAAACUGUGGGCGUGGCCUCUGAGCGGAGUGAGUUAAUAUGUCCCGGUCUUUCUGCGGAAACCUCCGAGACUAUUAUGAAUUCCAGAGCAGCAUCUACGAGACGCUUAUAUGCUUUCAAAUGGAAGCUGUUUACGACCUGGUGUGGUUUUCGUAGUAUAGACCCAGUUUACUGCCCAGUGGCUUCAGUACUGGAGUUCCUUCAAGACCGUUUCUCUGAUGGAGUAACGCCAGCAACUUUGAAGGUUUAUGUGGCAGCCAUUUCAGCUAACCACGUAUAUAUGGAUGGUGCUUCAGUGGGCCGUCAUCCGCUGGUCUCUCGCUUUUUACAAGGUGCGCGACGGCUGAGGCCUUUCCGCCCUGUGCGAGUUCCCUCAUGGGAUUUAUCUAUUGUACUGCAAGGUCUAUCAGGACAUCCGUUUGAGCCCUUGGAAACCGUGCCGGAUAAAAAUCCUGACCUUGAAGACAGUUCUUCUUAUGGCCUUAUCCUCCCUCAAGAGAGUUGGGGAUUUACAGGCUCUUUCUGUUUCGCCGUCGUGCAUGGAUUUUUGCACCAGGCUUUGUGA
Long non-coding RNA from Cyprinus carpio carpio, 1869 nucleotides. The record is from Ensembl. NCBI's taxonomy places the organism in Eukaryota, Metazoa, Chordata, Actinopteri, Cypriniformes, Cyprinidae.